AUGGCUCUACAUGACCCAAAGGAAGUAGUGAAGACUCUGCUGCACGGCAAUCUCGACCAAUCUACUAGCAUAGUAGCCCUGUUGUGGUCCUGGUGGAACGCCAGAAACAAGCAUCGAGCGGAGAAGAAAAAGAUUGAGAUCAAUGCCUUGUUGUGGCAGAUCAAGAGUACAGCAGACGAGUAUAAAAAUUUCUUUGGGAAAGAAAAACAGGAGACAGUGAAACAACUGGAAUGUUGGACAAAACCUGCUGAGGGCAUGCUCAAGAUAAAUGUGGAUGGCAGUUUUAGCAAGGAUACAAAAUCGGGUGGCUGGGGAUAUGUCAUACGGGACCAUGAAGGUGAUGUUGUGGUAGCUGCUGCUGGGCGCCUGAACUAUAUUUCUGAUGGAUUACAAGAGGAAGCGGAAGCCUGUAUCCAAGGAAUGUACAAGGAGCAAGAACCGGGCAUUGGCCGAGCAGUCGUGGAGACUGAUGCGAUGUUGCUGGUGCAGGCGAUUAAGUCCUCGAGUUUUGACCUCGCUCCAAAUGGUGUCUUGUUUAAGGAGAUCAAACUCUUUGCCUCUUUAAAUUUUAGCUCUUUUGAUAUUGUUCAUUGCCCUCGGGCCUGUAAUAAGGUUGCAGACGUUCUAGCGCUGUAUGGGGCGAAGAUGGAGCUAGAGCCCCAAGCCGUAUGGCCGGGCCUUGCCCCUACCUUUGCCCAGUCUUUGGUUGCCAGCGAGUCUGCUCGGCACGUUGCUUAA
This 738-nucleotide ribosomal RNA is filed under the name Triticum aestivum (bread wheat). RNAcentral describes it as "partial small subunit ribosomal RNA". The record is from RNAcentral. Lineage: Eukaryota; Viridiplantae; Streptophyta; Magnoliopsida; Poales; Poaceae.